Molecule: non-coding RNA, 148 nt
Filed under: Homo sapiens (human)
Lineage: Eukaryota; Metazoa; Chordata; Mammalia; Primates; Hominidae
Source: Rfam by way of RNAcentral
GCUGGGUGUGGUGGCGGGCGCCUGUAAUCCCAGCUACUCAGGAGGCUGAGGCAGGAGAAUUGCUUGAACCCAGGAGGCGGAGUUUGCAGUGAGCCGAGAUCGCACCACUGCACUCCAGCCUGGGCGACAGAGCAAGACUCUGUCUCAA